GAGGGUAUAGCUCAAGUGGUAGAGAGCAUAUUUAGCAUGCAUGAGGUCCUGGGUUCAAUCCCCAGUACCUCCU
RNAcentral lists this transfer RNA (73 nucleotides) under Camelus bactrianus (Bactrian camel). It matches the Rfam family "tRNA". From Rfam's summary of the family: Transfer RNA (tRNA) molecules are approximately 80 nucleotides in length. The record is from Rfam by way of RNAcentral. Lineage: Eukaryota; Metazoa; Chordata; Mammalia; Artiodactyla; Camelidae. RNAcentral also lists the same sequence under 1 other name.